UACUACUGAUUUAACUGAAACGUCUAU
This 27-nucleotide small RNA is filed under the name Bombyx mori (domestic silkworm). RNAcentral's name for it is "ovarian small RNA-21276". The record is from RNAcentral. Lineage: Eukaryota; Metazoa; Arthropoda; Insecta; Lepidoptera; Bombycidae.